GUACUCACCUGGCAGGGAAGAUACCAUGAACACAGAGGUGAUUUUCCCAGGGUGAGGCUCAUCCAUCGCAUGGGGAUAUGCUGACCUCUGAGAUUUCCCCAAAUGCGGGAAACAUGAGUGCUUAAUUUAUGGUAGUGGGGGCUGCAUUUAUGCUUCCCCCUA
Cavia porcellus (domestic guinea pig) is the source of this 162-nucleotide small nuclear RNA. Its record names the gene U1. It matches the Rfam family "U1 spliceosomal RNA". From Rfam's summary of the family: U1 is a small nuclear RNA (snRNA) component of the spliceosome (involved in pre-mRNA splicing). Its 5' end forms complementary base pairs with the 5' splice junction, thus defining the 5' donor site of an intron. Lineage: Eukaryota; Metazoa; Chordata; Mammalia; Rodentia; Caviidae. The record is from Ensembl.